Solanum tuberosum (potato) is the source of this 4921-nucleotide RNA transcript. It is a transcript of the gene named putative disease resistance protein RGA4, with no coding region annotated. The record is from RefSeq and is a predicted model, not a curated record. The transcript is spliced from 4 exons. NCBI's taxonomy places the organism in Eukaryota, Viridiplantae, Streptophyta, Magnoliopsida, Solanales, Solanaceae.
CUUUGACAUGUCAUCGGUGAGUGUGUUUACACACUCUCUACAUAGUUGGUUGAGUUAGCGAAAAAUAUCAAAAUGGCACAGCCAGACCUUCUAUGGUGUUUAAAUGGUACAAGACUUGGCAGUGGUCUUUAAACGAAAGAUGUUGUUAUCUUUGAUGUGUCCCCACUUUCUACAACCCCCAACUACCCUUGAAUAGGCCUAGCAGACAUAGUUGUACCAAUUACAAGUAAUAUCACUAGCAAAAGGAAGAAAGAAAUCACUGAUCAUUCUUGUUUGUAAAUUACUCUUAGCAUAUUCAACAGAUUUCAGAAAUGGAUAUCGGCUUAGCAGUUGGUGGUGCAUUUCUCUCUUCAGCUUUGAAUGUUCUCUUUGAUAGGCUUACUCCUCAGGGUGAUCUGCUCAACAUGUUUCAGAAACAUACGAAUGAUGUUCGGCUCUUAAAGAAGCUGAGAAUGACUUUGCUUGGUCUUCAAACUGUGUUAAGUGAUGCAGAGAAUAAGCAAGCAUCAAAUCAAUUUGUGAGCCAGUGGCUUAAUGAGCUUCGAGAUGCUGUGGACUCUGCUGAAAAUUUGAUGGAACAAGUCAAUUAUGAGGUUUUGAGACUUCAGGUGUCUAGCAACCAGCAAGUAAGUGACCUCAACCUGUGCUUGAGUGAUGAUUUCUUUCUUAACAUAAAGGAGAAGUUGGAAGACACUAUUGAAACAUUGAAGGAUUUGCAAGAGCAAAUUGGUCUACUUGGCUUAAAGGAACAUUUUGGUUCGACUAAACGAGAAACUAGAACACCUUCAACUUCUUUGGUUGACGAUUCUGAUAUCUUUGGAAGGCAGAAUGAUAUAGAGAAUUUGAUUGACCAUUUAUUGUCUGAAGAUGUAAAUGGAAAUUUUUUGACUGUAGUUCCUAUUGUUGGAAUGGGAGGUGUGGGUAAGACAACACUUGCUAAAGCGGUUUACAAUGAUGAGAAGGUGAAAAACCAUUUUGGUUUGAAAGCUUGGUUUUGUGUUUCUGAGGCAUAUGAUGCUUUCAGAAUAACGAAAGGGUUACUUCAAGAAAUUGGCUCAUUUGACUUAAAGGUUGGUGACAAUCUUAAUCAGCUACAGGCCAAAUUGAAGGAAAGCCUGAAGGGAAAGAAGUUUCUUGUUGUCCUUGAUGAUGUGUGGAAUGAUAACUAUAAUGAGUGGGAUGACCUGAGAAAUCUUUUUGUACAAGGAGAUAUGGGAAGUAAGAUCAUUGUAACUACACGUAAGGAGAAUGUUGCCUCGAUGAUGGGUAGCAGAGCAAUCAACGUGGGAACUCUGUCUAGUGAAGUCUCUUGGGAUUUAUUCAAACGACAUUCACUAGAAAAUAGGGAUCCUGAGGAACACCCAAAAUUUGAAGAGGUUGGAAGAAAAAUUGCAGACAAGUGCAAAGGGGUGCCUUUAGCUCUAAAGACACUUGCUGGUAUUUUGCGCUGCAAAUCAGAGGUGGAAGAGUGGAGAGACAUUUUAAGUAGGAAAAUAUGGGACCAACCAAGUUGUUUGAAUGGUAUAUUACCAGCGUUGAUGCUGAGCUACAAUGAUCUUCCUCCAGAUUUGAAGCGAUGUUUUGCUUAUUGUGCAAUAUAUCCAAAAGAUUAUCUAUUUUGCAAAGACCAAGUUAUAUACUUGUGGAUUGCUAAUGGUCUUGUACAGCAGUUUCAUUCAGGUAACCAAUACUUUUGUGAGUUGAGAUCAAGAUCAUUGUUCGAAAGGGUCCCAGAGUCUGAAGGGAAACCGGAGGGAUUCUUAAUGCAUGACCUAGUCAAUGAUUUGGCCCGAAUUGCAUCUUCAAAACUUUGUAUUAGGUUGGAAGAGAACAAAGGAUCUCAUAUGUUGGAACAAAGUCGGCACAUGUCCUAUUCCAUGGGAGAAGGUGAUGACUUUGAACAGUUGAAGCCCCUCUACAAAUUGCAGCAGUUGAGGACAUUGCUUCUAAUCGAUACUGAUUACUCACCUCCGCUAACCAAGAGGGUGUUGCAUAACAUAUUGCCAAGACUAACAUCCUUAAGGUCAUUAUCGUUGUCAAAUAGUUGGAUUGUGGAGUUGCCAGAUGUGUUGUUUAUCAAAUUAAAGCUUCUCAGAUUCUUGGACCUUUCUAGGGUGCUGAUUGAAAAGUUGCCAGAUUCCAUUUGUGUAUUGUAUAACUUGGAGACACUUCUACUGUCACAUUGUAGUAAUCUUAAGGAGUUACCGCUGCAGAUGGAAAAGCUAAUCAACUUACGCCAUCUUGACGUAAGCAACACUUUUAGCUUGAAGAUGCUGCUACAUCUAAGCAAGUUGAAAAGCCUCCAAGUGCUAGUGGGAGCUAAGCUUCUUCUAGGUGGUCAUGGUGGAUUGAGAAUGGAAGAUUUGGGUGAACUGCAUAACUUGUAUGGAUCUCUAUCAAUUCUAGAGUUGCAAAAUGUGGUUGAUAGAAGGGAAGCUCUAAAGGCAAACUUUUGGGAGAAGAAUCAUGUUGACAAAUUAUCAUUGGAGUGGAGUGAAAGUACCGCCGACAAUUCACAAACUGAAAGAGACAUACUUGAUGAGCUAUGUCCACACACAAACAUAAAAGAACUCCAAAUCACCGGAUAUAGAGGGACAAAAUUUCCAAAUUGGCCACCUAGUCUUUCGUUUCUUGAGCUGGUUAAAUUGUCUAUUGAUUCCUUGCCAGCACUAGGACAACUCCCUUCUUUGAAAUUCCUUUUCAUUAGAAGGAUGCAUCGAAUAACAGAGGUUACAGAAGAAUUCUAUGGAAGUUCGUCAUCUGGAAAACAUUUUAACUCUCUUGAGAAGCUUGAAUUUGAAGAUAUGCCAGAGUGGAAGCAAUGGCACGUACUAGGAAGUGGCGAGUUCCCUAUACUUGAGAAUCUUUCAAUUGAAAAUUGUCCGAAGUUGAUAGGGAAGUUGCCUGAAAAUCUUUGUUCUCUGACAGAAUUGAGCAUUUCAAGAUGUCCUGAACUCAAUUUAGAGACACCUCUUUUUAACGAGGCUGAACUGUUUACAUCCCAACUUAAGGGAAUGAAGCACAUUGUUGAUUUAUAUAUUGUUGGUUGUAACUCUCUUACCUCCUUACCUUUUAGCAUACUGCCGAGUACCUUGAAGACAAUAACCAUAUCUCGUUGCCAGAAAUUGAAAUUGGAUCCACCAGUCGGUGAGAUAAGUUAUUGUAACAUGUUUCUCGAGAGAUUGAAACUGCAUGAAUGUGUUUCUAUAGAUGAUAUAUCACCUGAGUUGGUCCCAAGAGCAUGCAAAUUGAAUAUAUCUAGUUGCCAUAACAUAACUAGCUUUUCGAUUCCUACUGUGACUGAGAGACUCUUCAUUUUUGGAUGUCACAACCUUUCGGUUGCAUGUGGGGGCAGCCAGAUGACGUACUUGGGUAUCGUCUACUGUGAGAAGCUGAAGUGGCUGCCAGAACGUAUGCAGGAACUCCUUCCAUCUCUUAAGGAACUGGAACUGUUGGAUUGUCCAGAAAUAGAGUCCUUUCCUGAAGGAGGAAUGCCAUUCAAUUUACAACAACUUCGAAUUGGGAAUUGCAAGAAACUGGUGAACAGCCGAAAAGAGUGGAGUUUACAUAGACUCCCCUGUCUCAGAAAGUUAGUGAUCGAACAUGAUGGCAGUGACGAAGAGAUCGAACAUUGGGAGUUGCCUUGCUCUAUUCAAAGAUUUGAGGUAUCCAAUCUGAAAACAUUAAGCACCCAACUUCUCAAAAGCCUCACCUCUCUUGAAGAUCUACGUAUUGGUAAUUUACCUCAAAUUCAGUCAAUGCUGGAAGAAGGGCUUCCCUCCUCUCUUUCUCACCUCACUUCACUUCAAAGCCUAAGCAUCUUCUCCUGCCAUCAACUCCAGUCUCUUUCCCUUCCCUCCUCCCUCUCCAAGCUGAACAUCGAGAAUUGUCCUAAUCUCCAAUCACUUUCCGAAUCAGCACUGCCUUCCUCCCUCUAUGAGCUGACCAUCGCGCAUUGCGCUAAUCUCCAAUCCCUUCCAGCAAAAGGAAUGCUCUCUUCCCUCUCUAAACUAGAUAUUUCCAACUGUCCAUUCCUCAAACCACUCCUAGAAUUUGACAAGGGGGAAUACUGGCCAGAAAUUGCUCAUAUCUCCAUCAUAGAAAUCGAUGAGGAAUACCUUUAAUGAUUAAAACGAGUGGUACUCUCACAAAUUGAGUUUAGAGUUAUGCACAUGUCCACUAUCGAAGUCAAAGCUCUAAUAGAAUUCAAAGGUGUACGAUACACAAGGUUGGUGAUGGUAUUCUUGAAAGCAUAAGAAGAAAGAAUAUACAUCAAUCAUCCAUGGCAACGUAUACUUAUGAGGAAACAAUGGCUACCACCAGAACUUGUUUGUUGGGACAUAAAAAGACCAUGUCUAAGGUAUGGAGAAACUUACAAGAUUCUGUUGCAUCAGUAUGAAUGUUGGUGGAUGGUUUAAAUGUGGUCCUGACAAGAUUCUGUUGCAUCAGAGUUGGGAUCUCGCUAACCUCCCUUCUGUGAAACUCACUUUGUUGGAUUGUUGGAAGCAGAUGAGCCCGUGCAAGCAUCUAAAUAGGAAAAGAUUUUAUUGUCAGUACUUUUCUUUCUUCAUUAUUUUUAACUCUUGCUCUUCUCUCAAACCUGUUCUCGAGUCGAGAGUCUGUCAAAAACAGCCUCUCUGUUCCUUCAAGGGUAUUGGUAAGGUCUACGUACACCUACCUUCCUCAUACCCAACCUGUGGGACUAUACUAGGUAUGUUGUUGUUGUUGUAGUUAGUAGUAGUAGAUUGUAUUUUACUACUUAGAAUUGACAGCAGAACAAAGAAAGAUCCAUCUCUUAUUAAUUCUUCUAGUUUUAGCUGAUGCAUAUAAGCUAUUCAAAAUAUGAUGCUGUCUUACUUACUACACUUUGUUGCAAUACACUGUAUAUACACUAUUUAAGAUAUAUACACAAAUAUGCAUA